Molecule: ribosomal RNA, 222 nt
Filed under: Staphylococcus aureus
Lineage: Bacteria; Bacillati; Bacillota; Bacilli; Caryophanales; Staphylococcaceae
Description: partial 16S ribosomal RNA
Rfam family: Bacterial small subunit ribosomal RNA
Source: RNAcentral
GACGGUCUUGCUGUCACUUAUAGAUGGAUCCGCGCUGCAUUAGCUAGUUGGUAAGGUAACGGCUUACCAAGGCAACGAUGCAUAGCCGACCUGAGAGGGUGAUCGGCCACACUGGAACUGAGACACGGUCCAGACUCCUACGGGAGGCAGCAGUAGGGAAUCUUCCGCAAUGGGCGAAAGCCUGACGGAGCAACGCCGCGUGAGUGAUGAAGGUCUUCGGAU